GACGAAGGGGGCUAGCGUUGUUCGGAAUUACUGGGCGUAAAGCGCAUGUAGGCGGAUUGUUAAGUCAGGGGUGAAAGCCCGAGGCUCAACCUCGGAAUUGCCUUUGAUACUGGCAACCUUGAGUGCGGGAGAGGUGAGUGGAAUUCCCAGUGUAGAGGUGAAAUUCGUAGAUAUUGGGAAGAACACCAGUGGCGAAGGCGGCUCACUGGCCCGUAACUGACGCUGAGAUGCGAAAGCGUGGGGAGCAAACAGG
Molecule: ribosomal RNA, 253 nt
Filed under: uncultured bacterium
Lineage: Bacteria
Description: partial 16S ribosomal RNA
Rfam family: Bacterial small subunit ribosomal RNA
Source: RNAcentral